Oncorhynchus kisutch (coho salmon) is the source of this 2166-nucleotide long non-coding RNA. RefSeq lists it as uncharacterized. The record is from RefSeq and is a predicted model, not a curated record. NCBI's taxonomy places the organism in Eukaryota, Metazoa, Chordata, Actinopteri, Salmoniformes, Salmonidae. The transcript has 7 exons.
UGCUACUUCAUAGCUUUCCCUGGCUCCACAAACCAGUAACUCCCUAACAUUAGCUAGCUAACAAGAAAUGCCAGCUAAAACGUGUGAUAUAGACUAACUAGGGUUUACGGCUGUACGGAUAAUUGACCAAUGUAUUUGUCAAACUAAUUAACUAAUUUCAACGGCUCUGUCUUGGAUGGCUGUUCAUCUUAAAAUUUUCCUCAUAUUGCUAUACUGUAGCCACCCCCUGGCGAAACCAACACGGCAUCUGAUAGCUACCCAUUACAUGAGGGCAGGAAAAAUAAGAGUGACUGGGUGUAAAGAGCAAAGGCUGAUGUCCUGAAGGUCCAGGUGGACAUAGAGGAGCUCACAGCCUCUGGCCACAUUGCCCUAAAGCAAGGGGACUGUGAAGAAGCCCUCAGCCUCUUCAAAAAGGCCUUCAAAGCUUCCAUAGAGCUAAAGGAGACCAGGGUCUAGCGGGCAUGUGCCUUUAACCUGGGAGCUGCCUACGUGGAGGCGGGUAAAGCCCUGAAGGGACUGGACUUCCUAAAGCGGGCCCAGCCAGAAGAGAGGGGCGAGCGGAUAGCAGACCUCCAGUUCAACCUGGCCGUAGCCCAUGAGCCCCUGGGGAACCACAGCCAGGCAGCUGUUCACUGCCUCCAGGCAGCCCAGCUGUACUGCUCCCAGGGGGACGGGGCCAGUGAGGGGGAGACCUGCAUGAAAAUGUCCCACUGUCACCUGCUCCUAAAGGACUGGACCCAGGCAGCUUAGAGCUUCCAGAGGGCUGGGGAGAGCUACAGGAUGGCAGGCAAGCUGGACUCAGCCGACAACGGCCUUCAAAUAGGCAGGGAGUCACAUGCUCCAAUCAGAUGACUUCACCAUGGAUGAUAUCAUCACCGUGCUCACUGAUUGCCUCGAGCUGAGCAACAACAUCAAAAACCCAGAGUUCCUCGCCUUUCAGGUAAGGUGUACAAUGACCUGGGCCUGGGUUUCUCCCAGCUGAAGUUGUUCCAGGAGGCAGCCUGGUGCUAUGAGCGGGCCCUGCCCCUUGUCAGCACCAGGCCCAAAAGGCUGGCCGUGGUCCUACAGAACCUGGGAGCCGUUCACAACACACUGAGCCAGUACCGGCAGGCCCUGGACUACCACCGAUAGACAGCCAGCCUGCAUGGGUCUUUGGGCAGUCGUCGUGCUCAGUGCCGCUGCUUCAGUAACUUGGCCUUUGCCCUCAGUCAGCUGAGGGAGCAUGAGGAGGCAGCAGAGAAUGACCUCCAAGCCCUGCAGGCCUUCAAAGACACUGUGAGUGGAGCUGGCUCUGCAGAGGUGUCUAUCGGAGAGCAGGGGAAGGAGGAGGAAGCCCCGGUUCCAGAUGGAGAACAGGCACACACAGUGACGAUGGGAGAAGCAUGUGACUCUCAGUCACCGGUGACAAGAUCUCUCAUUGAGAAGCCGGGGUAUCUGACUGUGCUGCCAGGGGCAAACAGGCAAGGCAUUUAACACACACACUGUCGUAGCAGAAUUAGUUAGGUAACAUUGAUAAAUAAGAUGUUUUAUCUAUUUUCAUAAAUAUGCUUAUGUGGGAAAAGUCACUUGGGGCCCAGAGAGGGUAGAGGUCAGGAUUGUCUUCAUAUGUGAGGGUAUCUGUUAAACCAUGUGAAGGGCUCCACAAUGUCUGUACACCAGUCACUCCCUACUUUUCCCAUUGGUGGGAGGAGUAUGGCAGUGUCUGGAACCAUUGUCCCCUCUGAUGUCGAAACUUGUCUUUCAUAGUAUAUGACCUAGAGGCUCACUCCUCUCAGGGAGCUUGUCCAGGGGUGGGUUGUAUUUGAGAUGGGAGUAUCUAGAAUUGACAAUUGAUAUAUGCCAUUGGAUGAGGUAAUGUUUUGGUAAUAUGAAGUACCAAGAACGAGAAGUAGAACCUCGUCUAAGAACGCAAACUGAACAAUAAUUUAUAGCUAAUGCUGUCUGGCUAUGGGAUACUCCUCUCUCAAGUAAAAGUCUUCCUUUGUGCAGUUUUCCUAAGACCUGUGGUUUGUCAUUGUGAGUUGAGAGGGGUGGAUCUUUGCUGUGAAAGAUCUCAGUUGCCAUUAUGUUGACACUCUCUCAGAAUUUAUUUAUAGACACCGAAUUGAUCUGAGAGUCAAAGGGAUAUGGUGAAGCUCAUAUUAUUAAAAGAUGAAGUUUAAAGUA